Molecule: ribosomal RNA, 1996 nt
Filed under: bioreactor sludge metagenome
Description: bacterial LSU rRNA
Rfam family: Bacterial large subunit ribosomal RNA
Source: RNAcentral
UCAAGCUCUUAAGGGCACGCGGUGGAUGCCUAGGCGCAGAUGGCCGAUGAAGGGCGUGGCCAACCACGAAACGGACCGGAGAGGUGUAAGCAACCUGUGACCCGGUCAUUCCCGAAUGGGGCAACCCGGCACCAAAAGCGGUGUCAUCCCGAAAGGGAGGGCUAAGCAGGGGAACUGAAACAUCUCAGUACCUUGUGAGGAGAAAUCAAACGAGAUUCCCUGAGUAGUGGCGAGCGAAAGGGGAAGAGCCUAAACCACUCAGAUGUCAAGGUUGUGGCCGUUGUCUGAGAGGUGUUGAGGGGCCGUCAGGAGGAGACCACAGAUCCUCGCGCUCAACGCAUGCUAGUCGAGCGGUUCAGGAAAGACCGACCAUAGAGGGUAAUAGUCCCGUAGACGAAAGCAUAGCGAGCGGCGUGUGACGGUACCCAAGUAACGCGGGGCACGUGAAAUCCCGCGUGAAUCUGGGUGGACCACCAUCCAAGGCUAAACACCAUCUGCGACCGAUAGUGGACCAGUACCGUGAGGGAAAGGUGAAAAGAACCGGGAAAGCCGGAGUGAAAUAGAUCUGAAACCGUGUGCCUACAAUCAGUCAGAGCCCGACUUAUCGGGUGAUGGCGUACCUUUUGUAGAAUGGACCGGCGAGUUAUUUUCGGCAGCGCUGAGGUUAAGACGAUGAACGUCGAAGCCGUAGGGAAACCGAGUCUGAAUAGGGCGACAAGUUGCCGGAGAUAGACCCGAAACUGGGUGAGCUACCCAUGGCCAGGGCGAAGCGUGUGUAACAGCUCGUGGAGGCCCGAACCAGGGACGGUUGAAAACGUCUUGGAUGAGCUGUGGGUAGAGGUGAAACGCCAAUCGAACCCAGAGAUAGCUGGUUCUCCCCGAAAUAUAUUUAGGUAUAGCCUUGCGUGGUUCCCAUCGGAGGUAGAGCACUGAAAGGACUAGGGGCCUUACCCGGUUACCAAACCCUCUCAAACUCCGAAUGCCGAUGGGUAAAGCGCAGGAGUCAGUCCGCGGGGGAUAAGCUUCGCGGGCAAGAGGGAAACACCCCAGACCAUCGGCUAAGGCCCCUAAAUCUCAGCUUAGUGGGAAAGGAUGUGGAGAGGCACAGACAGCCAGGAGGUUGGCUUAGAAGCAGCCACCCUUAAAAGAGUGCGUAAUAGCUCACUGGUCUAGUCUUUCUGCGCCGAAAAUGUAACGGGGCUCAAGCUGAGUGCCGAAGCCGUGGAUCAACAUAGUUGGUGGUAGGGGAGCGUCGUGCGUUAGGACGAAGGGUGACCGUAAGGGCGCCUGGACGAAGCACGAGUGAGAAUGCCGGUAUGAGUAGCGAAAAAGAGCGUGAGAAUCGUUCUGGCCGAAAACCCAAGGUUUCUUAAGCAAGGCUCGUCCUCUUAAGCUCAGGCGGUCCUAAGGCGAGGCCGAGAGGCGUAGUCGAUGGACAGCAGGUUGAUAUUCCUGCCCCACUACUUGGAGCGAUGCAGGGACGCGGUGAAUAAGGUGAGCGACUUACUGGAUUGUCGUCCCUGGGCGUAGGUGUGCCGUAGGCAAAUCCGCGGCAGUGAACCGAGACCCGGGGCGUAGGGCGCCGCAAGGCAACCGAAGUCAUCGGAUGCACCGACAGGAAAAGCUGCUAAGCUGUGAAGAGUAGUGACCGUACCGUAAACCGACACAGGUGGGUAGGAUGAGAAUUCUAAGGCCAGCGUGAUAACCCUCGCUAAGGAACUCGGCAAAUUAGCUCCGUAACUUCGGGAUAAGGAGCGCCUCUGGUAAUUGGACCGCUUCGCGCGGGAAGGUGAAGGAGGUCGCAGUGAAAAGGCCCAGGCGACUGUUUACCAAAAACACAGGUCCCUGCUAAACCGUAAGGUGAUGUAUAGGGGCUGACGCCUGCCCAAUGCCAGUCUGUUAAGGGGAGGUGUGCAAGCACCGAACCGAAGCCCUGGUGAAUGGCGGCCGUAACUAUAACGGUCCUAAGGUAGCGAAAUUCCUUGUCGGGUAAGUU